RNAcentral lists this ribosomal RNA (494 nucleotides) under uncultured bacterium. Its description in RNAcentral is "partial 16S ribosomal RNA". It matches the Rfam family "Bacterial small subunit ribosomal RNA", at positions 28 to 507 of the family's 1533-position model. The record is from RNAcentral.
GACGAACGCUGGCGGCGUGCUUAACACAUGCAAGUCGAACGGAAAGGCCUGCUUUCCCUUGUGGAUUGCGGGUACUCGAGUGGCGAACGGGUGAGUAACACGUGAGUGAUCUGCCCCCAACUUGGGUAGAAGCCUGGGAAACUGGGUCUAAUUCCCGAUAGGACUGCAGGGUGGUGCCUGUGGUGGAAAACGAUUUUCUAGUGGUUGGGGAUGAGUUCGCGGCCUAUCAGCUUGUUGGAGGGGUAAUGGCCUACCAAGGCGGCGACGGGUAGCCGGCCUGAGAGGGUGGACGGCGACAUUGGGACUGAGACACGGCCCAGACGCCUACGGGAGGCGGCAGUGGGGAAUAUUGCACAAUGGGCGGAAGCCUGAUGCAGCGACGCCGCGUGGGGGAUGACGGCCUUCGGGUUGUAAACUCCUUUCGACCGCGAGGAAGCCACCUGGUUGGAAGGGUGGUGACGGUAGUGGUAGAAGAAGCACCGGCUAACUACGUG